UACGUAGGUGGCAAGCGUUGUCCGGAAUUAUUGGGCGUAAAGCGCGCGCAGGCGGCCUUUUAAGUCUGAUGUGAAAGCCCACGGCUCAACCGUGGAAGGUCAUUGGAAACUGAAAGGCUUGAGUACAGAAGAGGAGAGUGGAAUUCCACGUGUAGCGGUGAAAUGCGUAGAGAUGUGGAGGAACACCAGUGGCGAAGGCGACUCUCUGGUCUGUAACUGACGCUGAGGCGCGAAAGCGUGGGGAGCAAACAGG
RNAcentral lists this ribosomal RNA (253 nucleotides) under uncultured bacterium. Its description in RNAcentral is "partial 16S ribosomal RNA". It matches the Rfam family "Bacterial small subunit ribosomal RNA", at positions 524 to 776 of the family's 1533-position model. The record is from RNAcentral.